This 510-nucleotide ribosomal RNA is filed under the name uncultured bacterium. Its description in RNAcentral is "partial 16S ribosomal RNA". It matches the Rfam family "Bacterial small subunit ribosomal RNA", at positions 30 to 523 of the family's 1533-position model. The record is from RNAcentral.
AUUGAACGCUGGCGGCAUGCUUUACACAUGCAAGUCGAACGGCAGUGCGGGGGCGACCCUGGCGGCGAGUGGCGAACGGGUGAGUAAAACAUCGGAACGUGCCCAGUCGAGGGGGAUAACGUAGCGAAAGUUACGCUAAUACCGCAUACGAUCUAAGGAUGAAAGCGGGGGACUUUAUAGAAAUAUAGAGCCUCGUGCGAUUGGAGCGGCCGAUGACAGAUUAGGUAGUUGGUAGGGUAAAAGCCUACCACGCCUGCGAUCUGUAGCUGGUCUGAGAGGACGACCAGCCACACUGGGACUGAGACACGGCCCAGACUCCUACGGGAGGCAGCAGUGGGGAAUUUUGGACAAUGGGCGCAAGCCUGAUCCAGCCAUGCCGCGUGCGGGAUGAAGGCCUUCGGGUUGUAAACCGCUUUUGUUAGGGAAGAAAUCUUUUGAGCUAAUACCUCGGAAGGAUGACGGUACCUAAAGAAUAAGCACCGGCUAACUACGUGCCAGCAGCCGCAGUAA